CCUACGGGUGGCAGCAGUGGGGAAUAUUGCACAAUGGGCGAAAGCCUGAUCCAGCGACGCCGCGUGAAGGAAGAAGGCUUUCUGUAUGUAAACUUCUUUCAGCAGGGAAGAAAAUGACGGUACUUGUCUACGACUCCGCGUCUACCUACGUCCCAGCAGCCGCGGUAAUACGCCGGGGGCAGGCGUUAUCCGGAUUUACUGGGUGUAACGGGAGCGUAGGCGGUUUAGCAAGUCAGAAGUGAAAGCCCCGGGCUCAACCCCGGGACUGCCUUUGAAACUGGUGAACUAGAUUGCAGGAGAGGUAAGCGGAAUUCCUAGUGUAGCGGUGAAAUGCGUAGAUAUUAGGAGGAACACCAGUGGCGAAGGCGGCCUACUGGACUGCAAAUGACGCUGAGGCUCGAAAGCGUGGGGAGCAAACAGGAUUAGAUACCCUUGUAGUC
RNAcentral lists this ribosomal RNA (440 nucleotides) under uncultured bacterium. RNAcentral describes it as "partial 16S ribosomal RNA". It matches the Rfam family "Bacterial small subunit ribosomal RNA", at positions 338 to 795 of the family's 1533-position model. The record is from RNAcentral.